RNAcentral lists this ribosomal RNA (785 nucleotides) under Vagococcus carniphilus. RNAcentral describes it as "bacterial SSU rRNA". It matches the Rfam family "Bacterial small subunit ribosomal RNA", at positions 23 to 781 of the family's 1533-position model. Lineage: Bacteria; Bacillati; Bacillota; Bacilli; Lactobacillales; Enterococcaceae. The record is from RNAcentral.
CUCAGGACGAACGCUGGCGGCGUGCCUAAUACAUGCAAGACGAACGCUUUGAUUUUCACCGGAGCUUGCUCCACCGAAAAUCAAAGAGUGGCGGACGGGUGAGUAACACGUGGGCAACCUGCCCRACAGAGGGGGAUAACACUUGGAAACAGGUGCUAAUACCGCAUAAUUUGUUUUUCCGCAUGGAAGAAUAAUAAAAGACGCUUCGGUGUCACUGUUGGAUGGGCCCGCGCUGCAUUAGUUAGUUGGUGGGGUAACGGCCUACCAAGACCAUGAUGCAUAGCCGACCUGAGAGGGUGAUCGGCCACACUGGGACUGAGACACGGCCCAGACUCCUACGGGAGGCAGCAGUAGGGAAUCUUCGGCAAUGGACGAAAGUCUGACCGAGCAACGCCGCGUGAGUGAAGAAGGUUUUCGGAUCGUAAAACUCUGUUGUUAGAGAAGAACAAGUGAGAGAGUUACUGUUCUCACCUUGACGGUAUCUAACCAGAAAGCCACGGCUAACUACGUGCCAGCAGCCGCGGUAAUACGUAGGUGGCAAGCGUUGUCCGGAUUUAUUGGGCGUAAAGCGAGCGCAGGCGGUUUCUUAAGUCUGAUGUGAAAGCCCUCGGCUCAACCGAGGAAGGUCAUUGGAAACUGGGGAACUUGAGUGCAGAAGAGGAGAGUGGAAUUCCAUGUGUAGCGGUGAAAUGCGUAGAUAUAUGGAGGAACACCAGUGGCGAAGGCGACUCUCUGGUCUGUAACUGACGCUGAGGCUCGAAAGCGUGGGGAGCAAACAGGAUUAG